This is a non-coding RNA of Coemansia brasiliensis, 91 nucleotides long. The record is from the annotation of a GenBank genome assembly. NCBI's taxonomy places the organism in Eukaryota, Fungi, Kickxellomycota, Kickxellomycetes, Kickxellales, Kickxellaceae.
GCCUGCUUGGCGUAGUGGCAUCGCAUCUGUCUUGUAAUUAAAUUACGAUUUAGAAAACAGAAGGUCGCUGGUUCGAAUCCGGUAGUAGGCA